GUCUACGGCCACGCCACCCUGAACAAGCCCGAUCCUGUCUGAUCUCAGAAGCUAAGCAGAGUCAGGCCUGGUUAGUACUUGGAUGGGAAACCACUUAGAAGACCAGGUGCUGUAGGUG
Molecule: ribosomal RNA, 118 nt
Filed under: Pteropus alecto (black flying fox)
Lineage: Eukaryota; Metazoa; Chordata; Mammalia; Chiroptera; Pteropodidae
Source: RNAcentral